CUACGGGAGGCAGCAGUGGGGAAUAUUGCGCAAUGGGCGAAAGCCUGACGCAGCGACGCCGCGUGAGGGACGAAGGUCUUCGGAUUGUAAACCUCUUUCAGCAGGGACGAAGCGCAAGUGACGGUACCUGCAGAAGAAGCACCGGCUAACUACGUGCCAGCAGCCGCGGUAAUACGUAGGGUGCGAGCGUUGUCCGGAAUUAUUGGGCGUAAAGAGCUUGUAGGCGGUUUGUCGCGUCUGCUGUGAAAAUCCGGGGCUCAACCCCGGACUUGCAGUGGGUACGGGCAAACUAGAGUGUGGUAGGGGAGACUGGAAUUCCUGGUGUAGCGGUGAAAUGCGCAGAUAUCAGGAGGAACACCAAUGGCGAAGGCAGGUCUCUGGGCCACUACUGACGCUGAGAAGCGAAAGCGUGGGGGGCGAACAGGAUUAGAAACCCCUGUAGUCC
This 445-nucleotide ribosomal RNA is filed under the name uncultured bacterium. RNAcentral's name for it is "bacterial SSU rRNA". It matches the Rfam family "Bacterial small subunit ribosomal RNA", at positions 339 to 796 of the family's 1533-position model. The record is from RNAcentral.